CCAAUAGCGUAUAUUAAAGUUGUUGCAGUUAAAAAGCUCGUAGUUGAAUUUCGGGGUUAGUAGGUUGGUCAUGCCUCAGGUAUGCACUGGUCUCACUGAUUCCUCCUUCCUGAUGAGCCGUAAUGCCAUUAAUUUGGUGUUGCGAGGAAUCUGGACUGUUACUUUGAAAAAAUUAGAGUGUUUAAAGCAGGCUAACGCUUGAAUACAUUAGCAUGGAAUAAUGGAAUAGGACGUUCGAUCCUAUUUUGUUGGUUUCUAGGAUUGACGUAAUGAUUAAUAGGGAUAGUUGGGGGCAUUAGUAUUCAAUUGUCAGAGGUGAAAUUCUUGGAUUUAUUGAAGACUAACUACUGCGAAAGCAUUUGCCAAGGAUGUUUUCAUUAAUCAAGAACGAAAGUUAGGGGAUCGAAGACGAUCAGAUACCGUCGUAGUCUUAACCAUAAACUAUGCCGACUAGGGAUCGGAUGAUGUUAAUUUUUUAAUGACUCAUUCGGCGCCUUACG
Molecule: ribosomal RNA, 500 nt
Filed under: uncultured Glomeromycotina
Lineage: Eukaryota; Fungi; Glomeromycota
Description: partial small subunit ribosomal RNA
Rfam family: Eukaryotic small subunit ribosomal RNA
Source: RNAcentral